Molecule: unclassified non-coding RNA, 335 nt
Filed under: soil metagenome
Description: partial contains 5.8S ribosomal RNA, internal transcribed spacer 2, and large subunit ribosomal RNA
Rfam family: 5.8S ribosomal RNA (bases 1-120)
Source: RNAcentral
GAUGAAGAACGCAGCCAAAUGCGAUAAGUAAUGUGAAUUGCAGAAUUCAGUGAAUCAUCGAAUCUUUGAACGCACAUUGCGCCCGCCAGUAUUCUGGCGGGCAUGCCUGUUCGAGCGUCAUUUCAACCAUCAAGCCCCCGGCUUGUGUUGGGGACCUGCGGCUGCCGCAGGCCCUGAAAACCAGUGGCGGGCUCGCUAGUCACUCCGAGCGUAGUAAUACAUCUCGCUCAGGGCGUGCUGCGGGUUCCGGCCGUUAAAAAGCCUUAUUUACCCAAGGUUGACCUCGGAUCAGGUAGGAAGACCCGCUGAACUUAAGCAUAUCAAUAAGCGGAGGA